Cryptotermes secundus is the source of this 581-nucleotide long non-coding RNA. RefSeq lists it as uncharacterized. The record is from RefSeq and is a predicted model, not a curated record. Lineage: Eukaryota; Metazoa; Arthropoda; Insecta; Blattodea; Kalotermitidae. The transcript has 4 exons.
GAUUUUUUUUCGGUCCUUUUAUAGGUCAUUUUUUAAAUAUUUUCAGGUCAUCAAAAUCCGGGCCCUGGUGAUGACACUCAAGUUUUCAUCAAUGAUAGUAGUGAACCGAGUGAGGUAACGAGAGCUUGUUGUCGUAAGUUUAAAAUAGAACACAGAUCAGCACAAAAAAAUAUUGAACUGCUACAAGAAAAGAUAAACACGCCUAAUCAUACCGCCAGAAGAGAUACUGUCCAACAUCAAGACUGAGCCUAAUGACAGUGAACUGGAGCUUCAGAUAGCCCUCAAGAAAGUAUGGAGACUGAAGCUACAGGAGGCUGUUGUAGAAUCAAAGAACAGUGUAGAAAAGGUGGCAGAGUCAGUACUGGAGAGAAACUCAGAAGGAAACACGGAAGGUGGUUCCAUUGUGCUGAAUGCUACUGCAGAAUUCUGCUGUACGUUGGGUGACGUCCCCAUUUAUGGUUUGGCUGGCAACAGGGAUGAGGACGCUCAGGAACUACUUGACUUUCAGAGGCAAAUGAUUGAAGAGAAGACAUGUCAGGAAGAAGAAGGCAAACGUGGAGCUUGGAAUGAAGUUGAGCUUG